Molecule: long non-coding RNA, 877 nt
Organism: Rhincodon typus (whale shark)
Lineage: Eukaryota; Metazoa; Chordata; Chondrichthyes; Orectolobiformes; Rhincodontidae
Exons: 3
Source: RefSeq, a predicted model, not a curated record
GUCUGUGUGAUGUAGGCAGAUUCACAAUGUUGUGGGGGAUGGAAUUCCAGGAUUGUGACCCAUUGACACGGAAAGAAGACGAUAGAUACGUUUCCAAGUCAGGAUGCCUCACCGUUGUGGAGGAGGUGGCCUUGGAAGUGGUGAAGUAUCAGGGUAGCCUACAACUACUGAUGGUGGGACAGAACGUCCAUCUCAGGAAGGUCAGCCUCAAGUAAAAGUGUGCAGAGCUCAAGAGGCUGGGGGGAGGAGGAGGCGGAGCAGGAAGGAUCUUCCAAGGAUUCAGUGUCACAUCGGUCUCUGUCACACACUGCCAGCCCAAAUAUUCUCCCAUAUAUACAAAUUUGUGUAUAUAAUGUCAAAUUGAAGUGAAACAGCCUUUCAACCUAGUCAACACACGUUGUUGCAAUUUACUUUUAAAACAGAUGAUCUUUUACAUUGUCAAGGGUAAGACUUGAAAAGUAAGUGUUGCUAAAUCAUGAUGGCAUCUGGAAAAAAUAUCAAAUCAAACUGAACUGGAAUUCUAAGAACUUAGCCCAGCAAUCCUUCAUUUUAUCAGCAAUCUGAAGGUGUAGAUAUGUUUUCAGACCAACACUGGAAGACAAAUGAUGAAUGAUGACUAUAUUGAUGAAAAAUCUUGGGCACUGGGAAUUUAGAAGCUCCAAGAAAACUGAGAUGGCCUCAUAACAAGUGACCCACUUUCACGUCUCAUUUUUAAGACUGUCAUUCCCUCCAGUGUCAAGUAAAUCUUUUAAGACUGAAGGCAGUUGCUGUCUAACAGGAAUCUGAAAAACGAAAGAUGGAUGAAUAUAUCUAUUAAGAUUUACAUAAGUAGCACAGAGCAUUAGUGCAAGGAAUUACAAGAAUGUUGGAAUUCAUA